CAGAGAGAAGUAGAAAGAUACACUGGGAAGAAAACAUGGCAUUCCAAAGUCAGAAUUAGAAGCCCUUCUUCUAAAGAGGACUGUUUAUUUUCCAUUUCAUUGGCAUAGCCGAUGGGGAAUUUCCUGCACUCUUCCCUGAACAUAAACUGUUAAGAUGGAUGGAGACAGAAAGAGCUUCCUAUAGGUUGAGAAAAAUUAACCUCUCUGUACCUGAGAAAGAAGCAGAAAUGAUUGUACUUCUCACCUAGAAAUUGAAAUGGAAAAGCAGUUUUUAACUCAGAACAAAGAGACCUGAAGUUUCAUGCUCUUUGCAGGCAGAAAGAUACGCCUUGGAGAGAAACAAGAUUGAGAGCCAGGAGCAGUGGCAUGCAUUAACCAUGUUUGUGGUAGAUUCUCAGGUUUCUACUGGAAACAGACAAACCACCUCUUCUUCUCUCUGCUCAAGAUCCUAGCACAAAUGAAGCACAAGCACAGAGU
Molecule: non-coding RNA, 477 nt
Filed under: Pongo abelii (Sumatran orangutan)
Lineage: Eukaryota; Metazoa; Chordata; Mammalia; Primates; Hominidae
Source: RNAcentral